This 491-nucleotide long non-coding RNA is filed under the name Pan troglodytes (chimpanzee). RNAcentral's name for it is "long non-coding RNA NONPTRT007685". Lineage: Eukaryota; Metazoa; Chordata; Mammalia; Primates; Hominidae. The record is from RNAcentral.
CACUUCGCUCCUACAAGCCCGGCUCACUAGUUCCAAGCUGCUGGACUUUGACCCUCGCUGGGAAGCUUGAUCGCCGCCUGUUCUCGCCAAUCUCUGCCUUUGCACUGCCCAGCAACCCGGUCACUGCCCAGGACCUGUUAAAAGUUGAAUGGACCUCCCAGAAUCACGCCGCUGCCACCGCCGUUUCUAGAGACGGCUUUUGGCCACCUUUGAGAAUCAGGGUCAAACUUGGAAGGGCCUGCAUUUGUCACACCUCCUCGGACACUAAUUUGGAUAGUUCAGGCCCAGAGACAGCUUCCCGGCAAUGUCAGUUUGCGCCUUUUGGUCUGAGGAACGCAGGCCCUGGCCACUACCAGGAAAAAAUCCUUUGCACAUGGCCUGCUAUCAACAAUCUUCUACAAUGAUUCUCAGCAUCACCUGGGGAGCUUAUGCAAAAUCUCAAAUUCCUGGGCCCUAUCCCCAGAGUUUCUUAUCGAGUAAGUCUGCAUUGG